This 408-nucleotide ribosomal RNA is filed under the name uncultured bacterium. Its description in RNAcentral is "partial 16S ribosomal RNA". It matches the Rfam family "Bacterial small subunit ribosomal RNA", at positions 28 to 526 of the family's 1533-position model. The record is from RNAcentral.
GACGAACGCUGGCGGCGUGCUUAACACAUGCAAGUCGAACGAAGUGGCGACCGGGUGAGUAACGCGUAAUCAACCUGCCCUUCCGCGGGGGACAACAGUUAGUAACGACUGCUAAUACCGCAUCCUGCGGGCGGGCAUUGUGUCUGUUUAGGUGGUUGGUGGGGUAACGGCCCACCAAGGCGAUGAUCAGUAGCCGGGCUGAGAGGAUGAACGGGCACAUUGGGACUGAGACACGGCCCAGACUCCUACGGGAGGCAGCAGUGGGGAAUCUGCCGAAAUGGACGAAAGUCUGACGGAGCAACGCCGCGGGAGUGAUGACGGCCUUCGGGUUGUAAAGCUCUGUUAAUCGGGACGCGGUACCGGAAUAGAAAGCCACGGCUAACUACGUGCCAGCAGCCGCGGUAAUUC